RNAcentral lists this unclassified non-coding RNA (789 nucleotides) under Hevea brasiliensis (rubber tree). Lineage: Eukaryota; Viridiplantae; Streptophyta; Magnoliopsida; Malpighiales; Euphorbiaceae. The record is from RNAcentral.
AAACCAGAGAAUGAAGAUGAAGAGCUUGACGAGAAAAAGAUUUACCGCACCACUUAUAUGUUCAGUGCCACUAUGCCACCUGCUGUGGAGCGCCUUGCAAGGAAGUACUUAAGAAACCCAGUUGUGGUCAACAUUGGCACUGCUGGAAAGGCGACAGACUUAAUAUCUCAACACGUGAUCAUGAUGAAGGAAUCAGAGAAAUUUCCCAAGUUACAAAGAUUGCUUGAUGAGGCUGGAGACAAGACAGCAAUUGUGUUUGUUAACACCAAAAAGAAUGCAGACACUGUUGCCAAGAAUCUGGAUAGGGCAGGAUAUCGCGUGACAACUUUGCAUGGUGGGAAGUCCCAGGAGCAAAGGGAAAUUAGCCUUGAAGGUUUUAGGACAAAGAGAUAUAAUGUGCUUGUUGCUACUGAUGUUGCUGGUCGUGGGAUAGAUAUACCUGAUGUGGCCCAUGUCAUUAAUUAUGAUAUGCCUGGGAAUAUUGAAAUGUACACCCAUCGUAUUGGACGAACAGGCCGUGCUGGAAAGUCAGGUGUAGCUACAACAUUUUUGACUCUGUACGACACUGAAGUGUUCUAUGAUCUUAAGCAGAUGCUUAUUCAGAGUAACAGUCAUGUGCCUCCCGAGUUGGCUAAACAUGAGGCUUCAAAAUUCAAGCCAGGAACAAUUCCUGAUAGACCUCCAAGGCGAAAUGACACUGUUUUUGCUCACUGAGAACUUUGGACACUUUAAAAGCUUCAACGCUUUGUGCCAUGUAAUGGUAGCUGAAGCAUCUUGGAUUGUGGCGGC